GGGGGGAAUGGUAAUGAACAUAAAUCUUUCAAUGGCAAAUUAUUACUAUAUACUAAAAAUGAAGUAACUUUUACUAUUCUUAAGAACAAUAAAAUUACCUUCUUACCCUUAUCUUCUGCUCUUUUUCUUUUCUUUUUUAAUUUAUCUAAAACUCUAAUUCAUGGUUGUGGAUAUUUAAUAUCUGAUAACAGGUUAGACGGUCA
Molecule: unclassified non-coding RNA, 203 nt
Filed under: Hevea brasiliensis (rubber tree)
Lineage: Eukaryota; Viridiplantae; Streptophyta; Magnoliopsida; Malpighiales; Euphorbiaceae
Source: RNAcentral